ACUUAAAUAGCUUAUUAAUUAGAGUAUAGCAGUGAAGUUGCUAGGGAGGUUGGGAAUCUAGACCUUUAAGUA
Molecule: transfer RNA, 72 nt
Filed under: Claassenia sp. 2 YNX-2023a
Lineage: Eukaryota; Metazoa; Arthropoda; Insecta; Plecoptera; Perlidae
Description: tRNA-Phe
Source: RNAcentral